GCAUUGGUGGUUCAGUGGUAGAAUUCUCGCCUGCCACGCGGGGAGGCCAGGGUUCGAUUCCCGGCCAAUGCA
Molecule: transfer RNA, 72 nt
Filed under: Merluccius polli (Benguela hake)
Lineage: Eukaryota; Metazoa; Chordata; Actinopteri; Gadiformes; Merlucciidae
Rfam family: tRNA
About the family: Transfer RNA (tRNA) molecules are approximately 80 nucleotides in length. Their secondary structure includes four short double-helical elements and three loops (D, anti-codon, and T loops).
Source: Rfam by way of RNAcentral